This 449-nucleotide ribosomal RNA is filed under the name uncultured bacterium. RNAcentral's name for it is "partial 16S ribosomal RNA". It matches the Rfam family "Bacterial small subunit ribosomal RNA", at positions 328 to 794 of the family's 1533-position model. The record is from RNAcentral.
AUUCCAGACUCCUACGGGAGGCAGCAGUGGGGAAUAUUGCACAAUGGGGGAAACCCUGAUGCAGCGACGCCGCGUGAGCGAUGAAGUAUUUCGGUAUGUAAAGCUCUAUCAGCAGGGAAGAAAAUGACGGUACCUGACUAAGAAGCCCCGGCUAACUACGUGCCAGCAGCCGCGGUAAUACGUAGGGGGCAAGCGUUAUCCGGAUUUACUGGGUGUAAAGGGAGCGUAGACGGCGGUGCAAGCCAGAUGUGAAAGCCUGGGGCUCAACCCCGGGACUGCAUUUGGAACUGUGCUGCUAGAGUGUCGGAGAGGCAGGCGGAAUUCCUAGUGUAGCGGUGAAAUGCGUAGAUAUUAGGAGGAACACCAGUGGCGAAGGCGGCCUGCUGGACGAUGACUGACGUUGAGGCUCGAAAGCGUGGGGAGCAAACAGGAUUAGAUACCCGUGUAUU